Cebus imitator (Panamanian white-faced capuchin) is the source of this 694-nucleotide long non-coding RNA. RefSeq lists it as uncharacterized. The transcript has 3 exons. The record is from RefSeq and is a predicted model, not a curated record. Lineage: Eukaryota; Metazoa; Chordata; Mammalia; Primates; Cebidae.
CUCUUAACAGCCUACAAGCAGGCAUGUGCUUACCAGCAAACUAAAGUAAAUGGAAAUCAAGAAGCAUAUUCACCACCAGCAAGGUGCUGCUGACCUAUAAGCCUUCAGAUGGUCAGAUAAAGUACCUGAUGCUGAAAAGCAGGAAAUUGAAUCGUGUCUCCAAAAUGUGCCUUUUGUCAUGCGCUGUUACAGCUACAUUUCUUGCUCUUUAGGCCUUAAUGAUUGACAUGAUUUUGGAGAUCAGUUGGUAUGUAGCAAAACGCUCCUAGAAACCUGGAAGAUGAGGCAAGAGGAAAACAUGGAGCCCUUUCUGCAUAAGCCUAUGAGAGAAGAAGAAUCACUUCAAUUUGUAAGUGUGGAUCCUGGGGGCUGAAAAACUUACCUAAGACCAUACAGCCAGCAAAUUACUGACCCAGCAUAUUCUGAACCCAAGUCUUUGUUCUUUCCAAGACUUCACAGUGUCUUCCUUAGAGUAUAUCUGCAUGAAAAUCAUGUUUAAAGAAGUGAUCUGUGGUGUCACCAUUUGUAUCAAAAUGAUAUCACAAACUUAUUUAAAAGUCUUUAUCUAAAAGUCUUCCUAACAGUUAUAUCUUUGGCCAGGGGAGACCUCUAAUAUCACACAUUAAUAACCCUACCUUUGUAACAUGUAAAUUGUUUUUUGUUUUACCAUCUCAGUUUCAUUAUACUGAGACCA